This is a long non-coding RNA of Peromyscus eremicus (cactus mouse), 868 nucleotides long. RefSeq lists it as uncharacterized. The transcript has 2 exons. NCBI's taxonomy places the organism in Eukaryota, Metazoa, Chordata, Mammalia, Rodentia, Cricetidae. The record is from RefSeq and is a predicted model, not a curated record.
CGGUCAUGUGGCUGGGGGAGUGGCCAGUGCCCACAAGUACCAACAUCAGCUUCUGCAGGUUUUCCAGCACCCCCACCCAUCUCCAGCUUUGAGUCCUUCGUGAGGCUCUCUAGGACCUUCAUGGAGUUGUUCCGCUCCUCAUCCUCACACUCCUUCUGCACACGCUUCUCUUCCUCCUCCAGGAGCGUCUCGGCCUGGAAGCUGCGUGUGGCCCCAUGCUCCACGGUGUAGUCCGUGUCUUGAAGGUGAUCUCCGCCAAGCAGCGCAUGCACUUGAUGUAGAAGCGGAAGACAGGCCCAGACAGGCCUCGUUCUGGGCCAUUUCUUGGUGUGCACUGUACUUCUUUCCCUUGUAGAUAUAUAUUCUCCACAUGUCUUACACCUCAUGUUGAAGGGGGCCAUCAGCCGAACCACGUACUGGUCCUUGGGUAGCUUGAGUGUCGGGAUCUUUGACGGGUCGAAGUCAGCAACGUGUCUUCUCUGCCUCCUCAAGAAACAGAUGCCUGAGGUCUCCAGAAUGGCAGUUAACCAAAUACUUCUUCACUCACACCUCCCACUGAGCGUGACCCCACCAACUCCCAGCUUCCCCUCCCCAUGUCAUCCUAUGCCCACAGGAAGUAGCUAGACUUGAACGGGCACCCCUAUACCCAAGGAGUCUUGGGAUGAUUAGGUGGAAGCCCCACCUCUCUUUCCCUAGACCCCACCCCUAAGAAAUCCCACCAAGAGUCAGCACCUCCCCAGGGCUGCUCAGGACUGCACCUACAGGCUACUUAAGACCUGGUUGCCAUACCUGCUCUGUGCUCUCUCCCCUGCCUUCCGAGAGUCACCCAGGAGUGCUUUGCUCUGCUCAUUAAACCUGGACUUAAUAA